Molecule: ribosomal RNA, 469 nt
Filed under: uncultured bacterium
Lineage: Bacteria
Description: partial 16S ribosomal RNA
Rfam family: Bacterial small subunit ribosomal RNA
Source: RNAcentral
GGACGAACGCUGGCGGCGUGCUUAACACAUGCAAGUCGAACGGAAAGGCCCUGCUUUUGUGGGGUGCUCGAGUGGCGAACGGGUGAGUAACACGUGAGUAACCUGCCUUUGACUUUGGGAUAACUUCAGGAAAUUGGGGCUAAUACCGGAUAGGAGCUCCUGCUGCAUGGUGGGGGUUGGAAAGUUUCGGCGGUUGGGGAUGGACUCGCGGCUUAUCAGCUUGUUGGUGGGGUAGUGGCUUACCAAGGCUUUGACGGGUAGCCGGCCUGAGAGGGUGACCGGCCACAUUGGGACUGAGAUACGGCCCAGACUCCUACGGGAGGCAGCAGUGGGGAAUAUUGCACAAUGGGCGGAAGCCUGAUGCAGCAACGCCGCGUGCGGGAUGACGGCCUUCGGGUUGUAAACCGCUUUCGCCUGUGACGAAGCGUGAGUGACGGUAAUGGGUAAAGAAGCACCGGCUAACUACGUG